Molecule: ribosomal RNA, 491 nt
Filed under: uncultured bacterium
Lineage: Bacteria
Description: bacterial SSU rRNA
Rfam family: Bacterial small subunit ribosomal RNA
Source: RNAcentral
AAUGAACGCUGGCGGCGUGGAUUAGGCAUGCAAGUCGAACGCGAAAGUUCCCUUCGGGGGGCGAGUAGAGUGGCGAAAGGGUGAGUAAUGCUUGGAUGACCUGCCCUCGAGACGGGACAACAGUUCGAAAGGACUGCUAAUACCCGAUAGUCCGGUUUAGAUGCGUCUAGAUCGGUAAAUGGUGCUUCCGCUCGAGGAGGGGUUCAAGUCCUAUCAGCUUGUUGGUGAGGUAACGGCUCACCAAGGCGAUGACGGGUAGCUGGACUGAGAGGUUGGCCGGCCACAUGGGAACUGAGACACUGUCCUGACUCCUACGGGAGGCUGCAGUCGAGAAUCUUCUGCAAUGGGCGAAAGCCUGACAGAGCGACGCCGCGUGGAGGAUGAAGGUUUUCGGAUUGUAAACCCCUUUCAUGAGGAAAGAUAAAGUGGGUAACCACUUAGACGGUACCUCAAGAAGAAGCCACGGCUAACUUCGUGCCAGCAGCCGCGGU